This 253-nucleotide ribosomal RNA is filed under the name uncultured bacterium. Its description in RNAcentral is "partial 16S ribosomal RNA". It matches the Rfam family "Bacterial small subunit ribosomal RNA", at positions 524 to 776 of the family's 1533-position model. The record is from RNAcentral.
AACGUAGGUUCCGAGCGUUAUCCGGAUUUAUUGGGCGUAAAGCGCUCGCAGGUGGUUCAUUGCGUCGUGCGUGAAAGACCCCGGCUCAACUGGGGAGGGUCGUGCGAAACGGGUGAACUAGAGGCCAGUAGGGGGAUGUGGAAUUCCGGGUGUAGUGGUGGAAUGCGUAGAGAUCCGGAGGAACACCAGCGGCGAAGGCGGCAUCCUGGACUGGUCCUGACACUCAGGAGCGAAAGCGUGGGGAGCGAUCCGG